RNAcentral lists this ribosomal RNA (344 nucleotides) under uncultured bacterium. RNAcentral's name for it is "partial 16S ribosomal RNA". It matches the Rfam family "Bacterial small subunit ribosomal RNA", at positions 338 to 699 of the family's 1533-position model. The record is from RNAcentral.
CCUACGGGAGGCAGCAGUAGGGAAUAUUGCUCAAUGGGGGAAACUCUGAAGCAGCAACGCCGCGUGCAGGAUGAAGGUUUUCUGAUUGUAAACUCCUUUUGGUAGAGAAGAUAAUGACGGUAUCUAACUAAUACUCACCGGCUAACUCCGUUCCAGCAGCCGCGGUAAUACGGAGGGUGCAAGCGUUACUCGGAAUCACUGGGCGUAAAGGGCGCGUAGGCGGGAUAGCAAGUCAGAGGUGAAAUCCUAUGGCUUAACCAUAGAACUGCAUUUGAAACUGUUAGGCUAGAGUGUGGUAGAGGUAGGUGGAAUUCAUGGUGUAGGGGUAAAAUCCGUAGAGAUCA